This is a long non-coding RNA of Panicum virgatum (switchgrass), 890 nucleotides long. RefSeq lists it as uncharacterized. NCBI's taxonomy places the organism in Eukaryota, Viridiplantae, Streptophyta, Magnoliopsida, Poales, Poaceae. The transcript has 2 exons. The record is from RefSeq and is a predicted model, not a curated record.
UGGUGCUUGCAAGAGUGACGAGAAUUUCAUCUUCACCCUAGGGGUCCGAGAGGCUUGCAGCUCCAGGCACAGGGGGAUCGGAGAUCAGGUGCUCUCGAGCACAUCACCACCAGGGAAACACGAUCCAUCAACAAAUCUUUCCUCCUGCACUGCGACCUUUUGCUAGCACCAUGGAGCUCAAUGCUAGCACUAGAAAUCUGACGGCGACGAGCUCACCCUACUAUUCAAAAGAUGCAUUCAUUAUCAGCUCUGGAGCUUCUCAUCAUCUCACAGGGAACAUUCUGCUCUUCGAUCAAGAAAGCUUGUUCCAGUACUAUGACACCCUCAAGGUGGGCAAUGCUUAUCCGAUGGACAUAGUGGGAUUUGGAUCCAUAACCCGCCCCAGUCUCACGCUUCCGGAUGUCAGAUACGUGCCCGGGCUCAAAGUUAACGCCGUGUCUAUCGGGCAGCUUUCUGCAAUGGAUUACGACGUCUUGUUUAUCAAGAACGGGGGGUGCGUGGUGAAGGAGAGGCUUGGCGGCGAGGUGGUCGGCGAAGCCACCCUUCUGAAUGGCUUGUACAUGGUCGAUUAUUUGCGGAUUCCUCUAGACCGCAUCUGCUUACCCGACUACGAAACAGUUGAGGCUGCUCUCGGGUUCUUGUAGGAGCUAGGGCCGCACUGCAACCCUUGGCUCUUCAUCACGGCCGGCAACUACGACAUGGGUUAUAUUAUGAGGAACAUAUCUUUGAAGGCGCAAGGAAUGUGUUGCCUGUUGUAUUAGAGAAACAUUUUUAGCAUAUAUAAUAAUACAGUGCGUGCUAGCUUAUGGGGCACUUUAGAAGAGGGAGAAAAAUUGCCUGGGUCUGUUUGGAUGGAGGGGUAAAUGGAGUAAAAAGGGUAAAAAAAGGUA